Pygocentrus nattereri (red-bellied piranha) is the source of this 890-nucleotide long non-coding RNA. RefSeq lists it as uncharacterized. NCBI's taxonomy places the organism in Eukaryota, Metazoa, Chordata, Actinopteri, Characiformes, Serrasalmidae. The record is from RefSeq and is a predicted model, not a curated record. The transcript has 2 exons.
UCAGUAUUACUGCUACUGAGCGCUGAUUGGUCAGUAUUACGGCUACUGAGCGCUGAUUGGUCAGUAUUAGAGCUGAAAGCGGCGCUGUCUCGUGUCCGCGCUCGCCGUUGUUUUUGUCAGCGCUUAGCGAAGUCGCUGUAGCUGUUUAAUCGGGACGUGCAGGUGUAGUUUUUCUCCUCGCAGCGCCCGCGCUGUCAGCGCCUCGGCCCCGCCGCUCACCGUCGGGGUGGGUCGCUGUGAGCGGAGGGAAGAGCCCCGGCUGCAGCGCUGAGAGGGGACUGUGGAGAGCAUCCUGAGCAGCUGCAUCAUCGCCUGGUUUGGGAAUUGCACCGCAAAUUUGGGAGGUGUGAGCAGAGCGGCUAGAUCUUAUGAAGCUCGGUGAAAGACAGAGAACAACAGGAGCUCAACGGGUUCUUUAAUAACUGAGGUUCUUGUUAUAUGAAUAGAGCUCAGUAACUAUGUAACACGGUAAUAACGGACGUUAAGUAGUGAGUGUUAUAACUGUUCUAUAGAGAUACAGCCUUCAGUUCUGCCUCAUGUGGUCUGCUAUUUCUCUAGAAAGCAGUCUUUCCCUCCAAGCCAUUCUGAAUGACUCUGUUUACAUCCAUUAAUUUACCCAGAAAUUUGGAAUUUCUGAAAUUCCCCAAAAUGCCAUAAACAUUUGACAGCUGUCGUAAAUAAUCCUAUCAUAAAGUGUUGGUAACCUCUAUUUUUGCAUGAAGUGUGAUGAGCUGUUUAUAUGCAAUAAGAAAACAGCACUUCGUUCAUUUAACUUCGUUUUAUUCCAUAUGAACACAGACUCUUCACUUUAAGAUACAGGAGGUUUACUUGACAAAUAAUGCAGGCAGUGCAAACGUAAGAGCUGCACGGACGCUGUUAUUUAUCCAUGA